CCGGCGGGCCGGGGGAUGGCGCUGCUGGACCUGGCCCUGGAGGGAAUGGCCGUCUUCGGGUUCGUCCUCUUCUUGGUGCUGUGGCUGAUGCAUUUCAUGGCUAUCAUCUACACCCGAUUACACCUCAACAAGAAGGCAACUGACAAACAGCCUUACAGCAAGCUCCCAGGUGUCUCUCUUCUGAAACCGCUGAAAGGGGUAGAUCCUAACUUAAUCAACAACCUGGAAACAUUUUUUGAAUUGGAUUAUCCCAAAAACUUAAUUUACAUACAAUGCUUUUUGACUAGUAUGAAGUGCUCCUUUGUGUACAAGAUCAUGAUGAUCCAGCCAUUGAUGUAUGUAAGAAGCUUCUUGGAAAAUAUCCAAAUGUUGAUGCUAGAUUGUUUAUAGGUGGCAAAAAAGUUGGCAUUAAUCCUAAAAUUAAUAAUUUAAUGCCAGGAUAUGAAGUUGCAAAGUAUGAUCUUAUAUGGAUUUGUGAUAGUGGAAUAAGAGUAAUUCCAGAUACGCUUACUGACAUGGUGAAUCAAAUGACAGAAAAAGUAGGCUUGGUUCACGGGCUGCCUUACGUAGCAGACAGACAGGGCUUUGCUGCCACCUUAGAGCAGGUAUAUUUUGGAACUUCACAUCCAAGAUACUAUAUCUCUGCCAAUGUAACUGGUUUCAAAUGUGUGACAGGAAUGUCUUGUUUAAUGAGAAAAGAUGUGUUAGAUCAAGCAGGAGGACUUAUAGCUUUUGCUCAGUACAUUGCCGAAGAUUACUUUAUGGCCAAAGC
This 772-nucleotide small RNA is filed under the name Pongo abelii (Sumatran orangutan). RNAcentral's name for it is "processed transcript". The record is from RNAcentral. Lineage: Eukaryota; Metazoa; Chordata; Mammalia; Primates; Hominidae.